RNAcentral lists this ribosomal RNA (325 nucleotides) under uncultured eukaryote. RNAcentral describes it as "partial 18S ribosomal RNA". It matches the Rfam family "Eukaryotic small subunit ribosomal RNA", at positions 1470 to 1796 of the family's 1831-position model. The record is from RNAcentral.
CCCUUAGAUGUCCUGGGCCGCACGCGCGCUACACUGAUGCAUUCAACGAGUUUUACCUUGGCCGAGAGGCCUGGGCAAUCUUUUAAACCUGCAUCGUGAUAGGGAUAGAUUAUUGCAAUUAUUAAUCUUGAACGAGGAAUUCCUAGUAAACGCAGAUCAUCAAUCUGCAUUGAUUACGUCCCUGCCCUUUGUACACACCGCCCGUCGCACCUACCGAUUGAAUGGUCCGGUGAAGCCUCGGGAUUGUGGCCAGUUCACUUUAUUGGGAGUUGGCUGCGAGAACUUGUCUAAACCUUAUCAUUUAGAGGAAGGUGAAGCCGUAACA